GGGGAAUAUUGCACAAUGGGGGAAACCCUGAUGCAGCAACGCCGCGUGAGUGAUGAAGGUUUUCGGAUCGUAAAGCUCUGUCUUUGGGGAAGAUAAUGACGGUACCCAAGGAGGAAGCCACGGCUAACUACGUGCCAGCAGCCGCGGUAAUACGUAGGUGGCGAGCGUUAUCCGGAUUUACUGGGCGUAAAGGGAGCGUAGGCGGAUGAUUAAGUGGGAUGUGAAAUACCCGGGCUCAACCUGGGUGCUGCAUUCCAAACUGGGAAUCUAGAGUGCAGGAGGGGAGAGUGGAAUUCCUAGUGUAGCGGUGAAAUGCGUAGAGAUUAGGAAGAACACCAGUGGCGAAGGCGACUCUCUGGACUGUAACUGACGCUGAGGCUCGAAAGCGUGGGGAGCGAAC
This 400-nucleotide ribosomal RNA is filed under the name uncultured bacterium. Its description in RNAcentral is "bacterial SSU rRNA". It matches the Rfam family "Bacterial small subunit ribosomal RNA", at positions 356 to 773 of the family's 1533-position model. The record is from RNAcentral.